Molecule: non-coding RNA, 45 nt
Organism: Schistosoma mattheei
Lineage: Eukaryota; Metazoa; Platyhelminthes; Trematoda; Strigeidida; Schistosomatidae
Source: Rfam
AUCCAGCUGAUGAGUCCAAAAUAUGAAGAAACGGGUGUCCUGGAU